UUGCAUCAUGCGAGACGUUAAAUGACUCAAUAUCAAACCCAGCAAUUGAUUGCGUUUCAUACGGAUUAAAAAUAAAUUUCUGAUC
Molecule: small nucleolar RNA, 85 nt
Filed under: Staphylococcus warneri VCU121
Lineage: Bacteria; Bacillati; Bacillota; Bacilli; Caryophanales; Staphylococcaceae
Source: RNAcentral